UCCUUUGAUAGUCUUGAGGGUAGAAAGUAUUGCUUGGUGAUUGUGGAUGACUAUUCAAGAUACACUUGGGUAUUGAACAUAUAAAUCACGCUAGGCAACCAAUCCUCUCCGUCCUCGAGCCCCACGCCACUCUUCAUCCCUCUCCACGCUGUCCCACCUCCCCUACUCCUCCUCACGGCCUCUCGCGCCGCUGCCUUCUCUCCUGGGCCUCCCCGACGCUCGAGGUGCAGCAAAGGGGACGCCACUAUGUUCUCAAUCCAGCUAGAUCGGGAUCGGGCGCAGGUCGCCGGCAUCCGACGCCCCGCGCCGUGAUUUGGGAUCAGGCGCCGAUCUCCAUAAGGAGAUUAGGAGCAGCUGCUGCAGGGAGGGUAGGCAGCAGAGGAGCACGUCCAGGUCGAGCCCCCACCCCGGCGGGUGCCUGCAGAGGAGGAGAGGCCGAGGAUGGCUCCCAGUACAUGGAGGAGACGCCCAACACAGGUAGGGGAGGAGGCUGUCCCCGGAGAGGCAACAUGGUGGUUGCACCGGUGCCUCUCCCAUCUAUGCAUCUACCGAGGAUGGAUGGCACCAUGUGGGUCAGGAGGCCGUCAUCACCCUUGUAGGCAUGAUUCAUCGCCUCUGUCGCCCCCACAUGACACGACUCAUUGGUCACUGUUGGGCUACUGCCGUAGUCCUGCUACUUGAUGGAGUCUUCCUCCUUUGGCUACGUCUUCCUUCUCUGGCAACGCCUCUCUCGACCCCAGAGGUUCAUGGUUUUACAUUCAAAAAUAAAUAUGCACCUAAGAGAAGCUAGAGGAGUAUUGUUAAUAUCUGGAAUCUAAUUUAAUUGUGGUUCUAUACUGCUGUCAUAACUAAGGAUUGAUUGGUAUAGAAAAUAUAUGUGACCCUCUGUCCUCAGGUCCUUCACCAUCCACAAAUAAUCAGGUUCGACUACCUGCUUGGUCAGUUGUCUCUCUGUAGUAAACAAAUUUUGCAAUUGAACACGCUAAUUUUACAACUAAUAGUCCAUCAACUUUAAUCAUGUGCAUUUAGAAACUGCACAAUACCCCACCGUUGGUCGAGGUCCCUUAUAGGACAAUACUUGAUUUUUUUUCCUAAACAAUCUGGGGCUACCACAAGCUAAGUACCAUCGCAGGAUAUGUGAGGGACAAACAACAGCAAGGAGAGCAUUGUUUGCCACAAGACGCACCAACAACCACACCAUUGAGGUAAGCAACUGAGGACAUGAGAAGGGCCUUCACACCGAUCUCAGAAAAACAAACCUUUUGAAGCCAAUGAAGAAGCUACCAACCAUCUUUUGUUCCCAAACAAUCUUUUCUUCUCCCCACCUUAGCGUGUUCUAUGUUUCAUUGAUGUUCCUGUAACAAAACAGAGUUGGUAUCAGACAUGUAUUUCCUAUAUUUAUGAUGAUCUUCCUUAUGUAUAUAAAAUUAUAUUCUAUAUAGGUCCUCAAUCAAAUGUUAUAUAGGAGAAAUGCUAUAAAGACAGGCAUGUUUUCCCAAAUAACUACUGCUCUUAUGCAGGGUGUCCUAGCGCAUGUCGUCUCGGUGGAAUAGCAGGGGCGGCAGGGUCACCACAGCGGGGUGGACAACAAGAGAGGGUGAGGAGGUUGGCAGUGGGUGAGAAGGAGCAGCAAAGUCGGACGUGGCAGGAAGGAGCACUGAGGUCACAGUGGAGGAUAGGCCAGCGAUGGGUGCAAGGAGCUACGUCAGCAAAGCUACUCCGCCGCGAUGGGGUGGAGCUACGAGGCGGGGGAGGCGUCCAAUGACAGAUAUCAAAAAGCAUGUCGUUGCAGCAGGGUAAGAUAAACAAGAAGUGCAUUGAAGGUAGAGAAAGAAUUUCUAAUGUUCUGGAGUACACCAGUUGAUGAGAGCUUUUUGAAACUGUUGUAAGUUUAUAGUUUGAAAUGAUUGAAUUCGUAUUGUUCUCUGUGAGAUUAUUGAUUCAUGUUACAUGACCAUGUUCUGAUUAGCUAUAUUUGAUGCUCUACCCUUUUGACUGAUGGUAGUUUGAAGGAUGAGGUUUGUGCUAAUGCUUUAGCAACUCAUAGUAUGUUGUAGUUAUUUGUUCAGGAAUAUCAGCAAGUUGAACGAUGAAUAGUUUUCUAAUGAAGAAAAAAUUCACGAUAUUGUUGCAUUACUUAUGAAUGCAAUUGAUUUUCAUAACCAGAGGAAGGCAAGUGCUACAUCGUCAAAUAUUGAUACUUCCUUUUCAUGCCAGAUCAGAGUCUUGAUGCCUUGUUGAACUAUAUGUAUACCAUUUUCUAAUAUCUGACAGUUAUAUUGGUUGCACUAGCUUUUGGCAUAUAAUUUGAAGGGUAUUCUUCCCAUAUGAUCAGUUCUGCGGUCUGCACUCAUUUUUACUGCCAUGAAUGGUGUAAGUCUCCCUCUCUCUCACACACACAUGCACUGUGUGCGCGUGUGUCAUUCCCUCUCAGAUUUGAAGGUAAGUUAUUAUUUCGUGUUAUCAAUCAUGGGGAUUUUAUGAUUUCUAUUUAUUUCCGUGGUGGAAAAUUAAAAUCUGACAAGGAGGUCGCUAUCCAUCUACUUCCAUAAUGUCGAACCUCCAACUGAUUUUUCUUUUCCAAUAGGAUAUGCAUUUGAUCCAGUCCAUGUCUUGGCCUCUUUUUGAUGUGUGUUUACCCAUGUUCUUCUUGCAGGUAUUGUUCAAUCCGCCAGUAGCUAGCGGAUGUCGUGUUGUGAUUAAGGUUUGCCACCUUCCUCUACUAAAUCGUUUGUUUUAUGGGCCAUUCUUAGAAUACUAUGUGCUUACUCUGUUUGGCUAAAACAUGGUGAAUCUGAUGCUUACCAACAUUAUUUGUGUUGCACAUUUACAACAAUAACUGUCAGACAAGAGAAUUGCUCACCAAUCCUUAGGUUCAGAAGCAUGUGUACAGAUUUUUUGUUAGGCAUCAACUUUUGUUUGCUUCAAAUUAGAACUUGGGCCUUGCCUUCACCAAGUGUCUCUAAUGCUUACCAAUAUUCAAAAUAUAGAGAUCAACACUGAAGCAUUAGGCAUUGGUAUGUCAACUAAAUUGGUUCAGAAUAUAAUUCUUACCCAACAUUCUUGGACAUAGUGGGCCGUAUUAUUGACCCAGUUGUCGACUUUUGACUAGGUGGAUGUGUCGAGAUAGAAAUGUUUUGCAUUUAUGGUGGCAAAGCUGGUUAGCAUCUAGAUAAAUGUCAAGAGAAAAUGAUAGUAAAAGGUCUUAAGGCUACACCUUGAGAUAUGCAUCCAUUGUGUUUCUUAUACCAGUCCAUUAUAUAAUGUUUUAUUAAUUUCUUUGUAUGGACUACAACUUUUGAAUAGCAUCUCCCAAUUCAUUACCUUCCGGUUUUUGAAUAUCUAUUGACGCCAACAGUCUAGCAUUCUUCAAAAACUUACAAUGAUCUGUAGUUCGUCUAUAAAUUAAAUGGGGAAUAUUUAUUAUUAUUUCAGAACUGUAAGACUUUUUUUCUUGGAAUAUAUGGAUUAACCUAAGACUGGAUAUAAGAUUUUGUUUCUCUUCUUUAAGAAGUGCCAUGUAUUACUUGUUUUCUGAAAUAAUUCCUUUUGUUUUCGCUUUUCACUAGACAUUCAUUGCUAUUUAUGCUUCUUUAGCAAUGGGAUCAGUCGUUUUGUGCUGCCUUUUAGCUAGAUGCUGAUCACUAUUGGUCUCUUCAGUAGUGAGAUGGAGAUCAUAGAUGCAUCCUUGGUUUCCGUCCUCUUGAUAUCGUUGUUAAACUAUUGUUCAAUAUUUUAUCUUUGAGGGGUCUAUUGUUACUUUGGCUUGGCUCUAAUUAUAUGUGAUACGAUUUGUUUCUUUUGCUGGGCCCUAAUUCUUACCUACCUUUUCCCUUGGGUUUAUUCUCUGAUAUGAACAUCUUAUGUAUUCACCUAUUUGUGUAGAAUUGUGAUCUGUUAGCCAGGGUACUUUUGUAAUUAUUACAGUUUUACAAAUAGGAGAAGGGGAUAAGAGUUGUUGAAGAAAAUACACUGUAUUACCACUCUUAAUUAAUUAAGUGAGAAUAUAGAACUGAACAGUAACUCCUUAAGUACAAUUUUGUUUGGGUAAUUUGCAUCGCUAGAAGGAUGCGACUCAGAUCAUAUACUUUUCAUAUUACAUGGUUAGAGCCUUAUGUAUAAAAUAUUGUGCUUUCAACAUCUAUUCAUGGCAUUGUGUGCAUUCUAUCUGUGUGUACUUUUGAUUAUUAUAGGACUAAUAUUUUCAGAAAAUUAUGUAUAUAUGGUCAUGUCAGGACAAAAUAUUUGUUGCUGGCCAUGAACAACGGAUGGGUGAUGGGGACUGGUCUCAUAAAACUGAUAAAUGUGAACCUGUUCGUUGUUUGGACAUUACACCACCAUAAUUCAAUAGUAUGGUAAGAUUCACAAGGCAAUAUAAAUAGGCAUAUAUGCUUAGUUUAUGUAUUUGCUGAUUCAGGUGCCCGCCAUCAAUGAAGACAAAGAAUACCAGGUAGCAAACGAACAGAAAUGAUCCUGACCUUUGAGGGCAAAAUAUAUUCUACAAAGAAUCUUUAUCAGCAAAGGGCAAAGAAGAUUGUCAAUGUCAGCCACCAGUUAUUUUGUUCAGUAGGUGUUCCCUUCCAAUGAGGCUCCAGCCUGAGCAAGGGCAUGGUAGCAGAUAUUGAUCAGUUGGUUGAUUUUGUGCGCCCAUCCUGUAAUUCAACGUAAAGCUUCAGAAAGUGUGUUCAAUGUCCUCUCCAUUUCAAACAAACCAUCAGCUGGUUCUUUAAUACGAUUAUUACUUUUAUCAUACUGUAGAAUUCGUUUCUCGGUUAUCUAAAACUUAUAGCUAUUAAAGAAAGCCCUUGGUUUGUAUUUGGUACUUGUGCCAUUUGGUGGAACUGUAUGAGAAAAUAGUGAGAGAAUGUUGGUAGAAAUUACGAGUGAUGUAAUUACAUAGAGAGAAAGUACUCACAUGUCA
This is a long non-coding RNA of Triticum urartu, 4921 nucleotides long. RefSeq lists it as uncharacterized. The record is from RefSeq and is a predicted model, not a curated record. NCBI's taxonomy places the organism in Eukaryota, Viridiplantae, Streptophyta, Magnoliopsida, Poales, Poaceae.